UUUUCGGAUGGAUUUAAAACAGCUUAGUGGCGGACGGGUGAGUAACGCGUGAGCAACCUGCCUUGUACAGGGGGAUAACAGUUGGAAACGGCUGCUAAUACCGCAUAAGCGCACAGCAUCGCAUGAUGCAGUGUGAAAAACUCCGGUGGUAUGAGAUGGACCCGCGUCUGAUUAGCUAGUUGGUGAGGUAACGGCCCACCAAGGCAACGAUCGGUAGCCGACCUGAGAGGGUGAUCGGCCACAUUGGGACUGAGACACGGCCCAAACUCC
Molecule: ribosomal RNA, 270 nt
Filed under: uncultured Lachnospiraceae bacterium
Lineage: Bacteria; Bacillati; Bacillota; Clostridia; Lachnospirales; Lachnospiraceae
Description: partial 16S ribosomal RNA
Rfam family: Bacterial small subunit ribosomal RNA
Source: RNAcentral